AUUGAACGCUGGCGGCAGGCCUAACACAUGCAAGUCGAGCGGACGAAGGGAGCUUGCUCCUGGAUUCAGCGGCGGACGGGUGAGUAAUGCCUAGGAAUCUGCCUGGUAGUGGGGGAUAACGUCCGGAAACGGGCGCUAAUACCGCAUACGUCCUGAGGGAGAAAGUGGGGGAUCUUCGGACCUCACGCUAUCAGAUGAGCCUAGGUCGGAUUAGCUAGUUGGUGGGGUAAAGGCCUACCAAGGCGACGAUCCGUAACUGGUCUGAGAGGAUGAUCAGUCACACUGGAUCUGAGACACGGUCCAGACUCCUACGGGAGGCAGCAGUGGGGAAUAUUGGACAAUGGGCGAAAGCCUGAUCCAGCCAUGCCGCGUGUGUGAAGAAGGUCUUCGGAUUGUAAAGCACUUUAAGUUGGGAGGAAGGGCAGUAAGUUAAUACCUUGCUGUUUUGACGUUACCAACAGAAUAAGCACCGGCUAACUUCGUG
This 484-nucleotide ribosomal RNA is filed under the name uncultured bacterium. RNAcentral's name for it is "partial 16S ribosomal RNA". It matches the Rfam family "Bacterial small subunit ribosomal RNA", at positions 30 to 507 of the family's 1533-position model. The record is from RNAcentral.